AGCAGCCGCGGUAAUUCCAGCUCCAAUAGCGUAUAUUAAAGUUGUUGCAGUUAAAAAGCUCGUAGUUGAAUUUCGAGACCGGUUUACUGGUCGUGCUUUUGUACGUACUGGUAUUAUUGGUUCCUCCUUUCUGACGAAUCAUAAUGCCAUUAAUUUGGUGUUUUGGGGAAUCAGGACUGUUACUUUGAAAAAAUUAGAGUGUUUAAAGCAGGCUCACGCUUGAAUACAUUAGCAUGGAAUAACGAAAUAGGACGUUUGAUUUUAUUUUGUUGGUUUCUAGGAUCGACGUAAUGAUUAAUAGGGAUAGUUGGGGGCAUUAGUAUUCAAUUGUCAGAGGUGAAAUUCUUGGAUUUAUUGAAGACUAACUACUGCGAAAGCAUUUGCCAAGGAUGUUUCAUUAAUCAAGACGAAAGUUAGGGGAUCGAAGACGAUCAGAUACCGUCGUAGUCUUAACCAUAAACUAUGCCGACUAGGGAUCGGAUGAUGUUAAUUUUUAAUGACUCAUUCGGCGCCUUACGG
RNAcentral lists this ribosomal RNA (519 nucleotides) under uncultured Glomus. Its description in RNAcentral is "SSU rRNA". It matches the Rfam family "Eukaryotic small subunit ribosomal RNA", at positions 569 to 1093 of the family's 1831-position model. The record is from RNAcentral. Lineage: Eukaryota; Fungi; Glomeromycota; Glomeromycetes; Glomerales; Glomeraceae.